Molecule: unclassified non-coding RNA, 493 nt
Filed under: Hevea brasiliensis (rubber tree)
Lineage: Eukaryota; Viridiplantae; Streptophyta; Magnoliopsida; Malpighiales; Euphorbiaceae
Source: RNAcentral
AGAGAGAGAGAGAGAGAGAUAUAAUGAUAUGGAAAAAGACAGAGAGGAAGAGGGAUAAAAGAAAUGGCUCCUGGAAAAGAAAGGAUAAUUGAAUAAGGGUUGUCUGGUGAAAUAAUUCCAAUUGUUUUUAUGAAGUUGUGGCAUUAGUUGUUAGGUUAUGGAAAUAGCUCUGCCCUCCAUUAUUCAUUGGAAUAAGAGUGUAGUUUGUCCUAACAUGAAUUGGCUUUUUUUGUGUGUUGGGGGGUUAGAAAAAGAAGAGUUAUUAGGUGCAUCCGGUGCAUCUCACCAAUGCUUUAUGUCUAGCUUCUAUCAUGCUAUGAAUGUGUGCAAUAUUGUUUCCUAACCUGUAUUGUAUGAUUUUCUCUGCUCUCUUACCAAUUUAUUAUCUUGUAAUAGAUGUUUAGUAGUGCUUUGUAUAUGGCCCAAUAAUGUGCCUUUUUUAAUUUGUUUACUGUAGUCCAAAUCACAAUUUCCUUUUUUUUAUUUUUUAUUU